AUUGAACGCUGGCGGCAUGCUUUACACAUGCAAGUCGAACGGCAGCGCGGGCUUCGGCCUGGCGGCGAGUGGCGAACGGGUGAGUAAUACAUCGGAACGUGCCCAGUAGUGGGAGAUAGCUCGGCGAAAGCCGGAUUAAUACCGCAUACGACCUGAGGGUGAAAGCGGGGGAUCUUCGGACCUCGCGCUAUUGGGGCGGCCGAUGGCAGAUUAGCUAGUUGGUGGGGUAAAGGCCUACCAAGGCGACGAUCUGUAGCUGGUCUGAGAGGACGACCAGCCACACUGGGACUGAGACACGGCCCAGACUCCUACGGGAGGCAGCAGUGGGGAAUUUUGGACAAUGGGCGAAAGCCUGAUCCAGCAAUGCCGCGUGUGUGAUGAAGGCCUUCGGGUUGUAAAGCACUUUUGGCGGGAACGAAAAGGACUGUGCCAAUACCACGGUUCGAUGACGGUACCCGCAGAAUAAGCACCGGCUAACUACGUG
This 484-nucleotide ribosomal RNA is filed under the name uncultured bacterium. Its description in RNAcentral is "partial 16S ribosomal RNA". It matches the Rfam family "Bacterial small subunit ribosomal RNA", at positions 29 to 507 of the family's 1533-position model. The record is from RNAcentral.